UCCAGACUCCUACGGGAGGCAGCAGUGGGGAAUAUUGCACAAUGGGGGGAACCCUGAUGCAGCGAUGCCGCGUGGAGGAAGAAGGUUUUCGGAUUGUAAACUCCUUUUAUCAGGGACGAUAAUGACGGUACCUGAAGAAAAAGCUCCGGCUAACUACGUGCCAGCAGCCGCGGUAAUACGUAGGGAGCGAGCGUUGUCCGGAAUUACUGGGUGUAAAGGGAGCGUAGGCGGGACGGCAAGUCAGAUGUGAAAACCACGGGCUCAACCUGGGGCCUGCAUUUGAAACUGUGUUUCUUGAGUACUGGAGAGGCAGCCGGAAUUCCUAGUGUAGCGGUGAAAUGCGUAGAUAUUAGGAGGAACACCAGUGGCGAAGGCGGUCUGCUGGACAGCAACUGACGCUGAGGCGCGAAAGCGUGGGGAGCAAACAGGAUUAGAUACCCCAGUA
This 445-nucleotide ribosomal RNA is filed under the name uncultured bacterium. RNAcentral describes it as "bacterial SSU rRNA". It matches the Rfam family "Bacterial small subunit ribosomal RNA", at positions 330 to 792 of the family's 1533-position model. The record is from RNAcentral.